GUAGUCGCGAGGUUUUGCUUUUUAUUGUGUGGCACAUUCUAAUUUUGGAUGCCUCGGAGCCAACGAGCAGCAGCGGCGGUAGCAGCAUGGCUGACGCAGUUUUCCAAUGGAGGAAAAACAUGGCAGGAUCAUCACUGUUGCUUCAGUAUAGCGUGAGUCCGAAAGGAUAACAUUAUCAGUGUGGUUGUGUGUGUGUGCAUAGAAAAUAGUAGGGGUGAGUGUGUGUGCCUAGCUCUUGUUUACGACACGAUGACGAUUAUUGCGGUGAUGAUGGAAGGCCCCCUGCAGCUCCUGUGCCUCGAAUGGAUCGUUUCCUAGGCGAAUCCACUCGACAAAAUUGACGGACAUCCGACAGCCAUUGUUUGUCCACACACCCACAAACACAAACUUCCGGCUUCCAUUAGUUCGCUCGGCGGGUCCUCUCUUCACAGCUUGCAACGCAACACUCGGCUCUGUCUCUCCCGGGAUGACCGGUUCUUUCCGCCUAUUCGACUGAAGCGUUCGGCUGUGGCCCGUUUCCCAAAUAUUUCACUACUGUGCUACAGAAAUGGACUACCCCGACCGGUAUGUAAUGUUCGCCAAGAGGACCUCCAAACAACACGCUACCCUACGGAUGACCGAUCUCUUGCUGGGUCUCAGAGAAAACGAUAGUUCCCUUCGGAGUGUUACGUAAUGUAUGACACUACUAGUGCAGUCCGUACGGUCAAUUGGUCUCGUAAAAAAACCCGUAGAAAGCACCAAACGAGAACAGUGGAGGCAACUCAGACUAAUUGAAAUAGCGCACUAGCCAUGGAAGACAGACUGUCAUAAUAAAAUCAUAAAUCUG
Armigeres subalbatus is the source of this 826-nucleotide long non-coding RNA. RefSeq lists it as uncharacterized. The transcript has 4 exons. The record is from RefSeq and is a predicted model, not a curated record. Lineage: Eukaryota; Metazoa; Arthropoda; Insecta; Diptera; Culicidae.